GUCAUUAAGGCCCCUCAGAAUGCGUCAUGGUCGAAAACCCGCCCCUUCCUUUCGUUGCUACGGACUACAGAGUGUGACGUCGGGCGAUCGAGACUGUGUGUGAGUGUGAUGUGCUGCUUACUCUCAGUGUGGCGUGCCGUCAGGGCUUCCAACUGUGUAGCAUGGUAGUUUAACGUAGCUCCGGUCGGAGCACCAGCUGUUGCCGUCACAACUAUGAUUUUCGGAUGUUCCAUCGUGAGUAUCAUGUCAUCGGAUCAUGGGUCCUCGGUUUUGCAUGCGUUAAGGCGGGCUGAGUGAGAUGUGGUCAUAUCGGUAUAGCGCCUCCCCCUCAUUCGUGGAGCCACGUUGCUGCUUGGUUUUGCUGUUUGGCUCUGCUGCUCUGCUGCUUUGUUGCUGCUUGAUUCUGCUUUGGGGCUGAUUGACCGCUUGUUUGAAUUUGCUGCUUCAGUUUGUUUUGCCUUUUUUCCUGUUUUAUUUGUGCUUUUGAUUUUGUUCUGUUCUUUUUGUGUUGGUUACUGUCAUUAAGAUCAGUUUUCUUUAAUUCAACUGUGUUGUAACAGUCUCAGUUAUGUUGAUACUGCUAUGUGGUACUAGUGGUUUUGGUCAGUCUUGGUAAACUUGCUACCUGUGAUCAGUUUGAGCUCAAGGUUAUCUGUUUUCAUGACAGUAUGUUUGUCUUUGUUUUAUUCUUUUGUUUGUCUGCUUUGAACGUAUUGUAAU
Ictalurus punctatus (channel catfish) is the source of this 720-nucleotide long non-coding RNA. RefSeq lists it as uncharacterized. Lineage: Eukaryota; Metazoa; Chordata; Actinopteri; Siluriformes; Ictaluridae. The record is from RefSeq and is a predicted model, not a curated record. The transcript is spliced from 3 exons.